Molecule: ribosomal RNA, 464 nt
Filed under: Lactiplantibacillus plantarum
Lineage: Bacteria; Bacillati; Bacillota; Bacilli; Lactobacillales; Lactobacillaceae
Description: bacterial SSU rRNA
Rfam family: Bacterial small subunit ribosomal RNA
Source: RNAcentral
GAGUGAGUGGCGAACUGGUGAGUAACACGUGGGAAACCUGCCCAGAAGCGGGGGAUAACACCUGGAAACAGAUGCUAAUACCGCAUAACAACUUGGACCGCAUGGUCCGAGCUUGAAAGAUGGCUUCGGCUAUCACUUUUGGAUGGUCCCGCGGCGUAUUAGCUAGAUGGUGGGGUAACGGCUCACCAUGGCAAUGAUACGUAGCCGACCUGAGAGGGUAAUCGGCCACAUUGGGACUGAGACACGGCCCAAACUCCUACGGGAGGCAGCAGUAGGGAAUCUUCCACAAUGGACGAAAGUCUGAUGGAGCAACGCCGCGUGAGUGAAGAAGGGUUUCGGCUCGUAAAACUCUGUUGUUAAAGAAGAACAUAUCUGAGAGUAACUGUUCAGGUAUUGACGGUAUUUAACCAGAAAGCCACGGCUAACUACGUGCCAGCAGCCGCGGUAAUACGUAGGUGGCAAGC